GCCCUUUGAAGAAGAGGCAAGUUCGGUCAUGAUGAAGAAGAAUCGAGGCGUACCACCUUUUAACAAUAGGGAGCAGCUCGAGGCUGCAAAGAGGUACUGAUCAUUGAGGUGACUUUAUGAAAAGAUAACUCCAAAAUAACACACACCAGAAUAGGGGAGUUCCUGUCUUACUGAGCAGUAUACACUAUGGAGAGAUUCUUCAAAACCUGUCGGGACGAAUAACAGAAGA
Long non-coding RNA from Grammomys surdaster, 229 nucleotides. RefSeq lists it as uncharacterized. The transcript has 3 exons. Lineage: Eukaryota; Metazoa; Chordata; Mammalia; Rodentia; Muridae. The record is from RefSeq and is a predicted model, not a curated record.